GCCUUCAUAGCUCAGUCGGUAGAGCAUCAGACUUUUAANCUGAGGGUCUGGGGUUCGAGUCCCCAUGCGGGCUCCA
This 76-nucleotide transfer RNA is filed under the name Heterololigo bleekeri (Bleeker's squid). Its description in RNAcentral is "tRNA-Lys". It matches the Rfam family "tRNA". Rfam says of the family: Transfer RNA (tRNA) molecules are approximately 80 nucleotides in length. Their secondary structure includes four short double-helical elements and three loops (D, anti-codon, and T loops). Lineage: Eukaryota; Metazoa; Mollusca; Cephalopoda; Myopsida; Loliginidae. The record is from RNAcentral.